CAGAGAGGCGGAAGAGGAGGCCUGAUGGGGCCUUUACUCUGCUUGUCAUUGAGCUGAUGACCAAGAUCCAGCCUAGAGCACAAGAAGACAAACGCUGCGUGAUCUCGUGUGUAGAACCUAACAAAGUGGAACUCACAGAAGCAGAGAGUAGAAUGGUGGUUGCCUGUUGGAAUGGGGAGAUGGUCAGAGAAUGCAAACUUUCAGUUGGAUGAGAGGAAGAAGUUCCAGAGAUCCAUUGUGCCACAUGGUGACAAUAGUUAAUAACAAUGUACUGGGCGGUGGGGGGUGGCUUACGCCUGUAAUCCCAGCACUUUGGGAAGCUGAGGCAGACAGAUCACUUGAGGUCAGGAGUUCUAGACCAGCUUGUCCAACAUGGUGAAACCCUGUUUCUACUAAAACUACAAAAUUAGCCAGGUGUGGUGGUGUGCGCCUGUAAUCUCAGCUACUUGGGAGGCUGAAUCGCUUGAACCCAGGAGGUGAAGGUUGCAGUGAGUCGAGACUGCGCCACUGCCCUCCAGCCUGGGUGACACAGUGAGACUCUGUUUCAAAAAAACAAAAAAAAGCAAUGUACUGUAUACUUGAAAAUUGCUCACAGGGAUUUUAAAUGUUCUCACCAUUACAAAAUGAUAAAUAUGUGACAUAAUGCAUAUGUUAAUUAGCCCGAUUUAGUGAUUCCACAGUGUAUACAUAUAACAAAACAUGUUGUACACCAUAAAUGUAUACUAUUUUUAUUUGCCAAUUAAAUAUUUUUUUUUAAAGUUUUAGCCUGCAGGUUUAGCUUUUUGGGGCUGAAGC
RNAcentral lists this long non-coding RNA (795 nucleotides) under Pan troglodytes (chimpanzee). Its description in RNAcentral is "long non-coding RNA NONPTRT003243". The record is from RNAcentral. Lineage: Eukaryota; Metazoa; Chordata; Mammalia; Primates; Hominidae.